This 613-nucleotide ribosomal RNA is filed under the name uncultured fungus. RNAcentral's name for it is "eukaryotic LSU rRNA". It matches the Rfam family "Eukaryotic large subunit ribosomal RNA", at positions 21 to 649 of the family's 3401-position model. Lineage: Eukaryota; Fungi. The record is from RNAcentral.
AUACCCGCUGAACUUAAGCAUAUCAAUAAGCGGAGGAAAAGAANCCAACAGGGAUUGCCUCAGUAACGGCGAGUGAAGCGNCAACAGCUNGAAUUUGAANUCUGGCUCUUUUAGGGUNCGAGUUGUAAUUUGUAGAGGAUGCUUCGGCGUCGGCUCCGGUCUAAGUUCCUNGGAACAGGACGUCAUAGAGGGUGAGAAUCCCGUAUGUGAUCGGUUGNCCUUGNCAUGUGAAGCUCCUUCGACGAGUCGAGUUGUUUGGGAAUGCAGCUCUAAAUGGGAGGUAAAUUUCUUCUAAAGCUAAAUACUGGCCAGAGACCGAUAGCGCACAAGUAGAGUGAUCGAAAGAUGAAAAGCACUUUGGAAAGAGAGUCAAAAAGUACGUGAAAUUGUUGAAAGGGAAGCGCUUGCAACCAGACCUGCCUGCAGUUGCUCAUCCGGGCUUUUGCCCGGUGCACUCUUCUGCUGUCAGGCCAGCAUCAGUUCGGGCGGUCGGAUAAAGGCUUCGGGAAUGUAGCUCCUCUCGAGGAGUGUUAUAGCCCGUUGCGAAAUGCGGCCAGCCUGAACUGAGGUCCGCGCUUCGGCUAGGAUGCUGGCGUAAUGGUUGUAAGCGGCC